RNAcentral lists this long non-coding RNA (296 nucleotides) under Physcomitrium patens. RNAcentral describes it as "long non-coding RNA (PPAT_LNC009511)". Lineage: Eukaryota; Viridiplantae; Streptophyta; Bryopsida; Funariales; Funariaceae. The record is from RNAcentral.
AAUGCCAAGCAAUGUACAAAGUCCAAACUUUGUGUGUGUCUUUAAUUAAUAUCAUGGGCUCCAAAGGUUAUUAUUUAGGUCCAUUCACAAUUUGGAACCACAAAAAACUUAUACCUCUUGAAGGAGGAUUUCUCUCUCCAACUUCAACUCUAAUUUGUAAGUAUCCUUCUCAAUCCAAAAAAGUUAGAAGACUUUCUAGAAUGCAACUAGGACCCCACAAGUCACACAUGGUCUAUGACCAAACACUCAUCUCUUAUAUAAAACAACUCAAGGGAGAUAAAUCAAAGGAGUAAAAA